AGAUUAACAGCAUCUCAAAUACAGAACAAAAUGGAGUCUCUUAUGUCUACUUCUUUCUAUAUAGACACAGUAACAGUCUGAUCUUUUUCUUUUCCCCACAAGGAGAGGACGCUGUGCAGCCCAGAUGCUGGGAGAUGGGGGCACAGAUCUGAUAAGAGGAACUUAGCGGGCCUCCCUGCACAUUCAUAAAGACAAAUGCUAAAUACAAUAAAUGUAUAUUAACUAGAUAAUGUUUAUCAAUAUAAAUAUAUAAAUUAACAUGGGUAAUAAAAUCAUAAUCAAUACUGUUAGGUAGUGUUUCCUGAGUGCCUUCGAUGUUCUGGACCUUGUGCUGAAGAAGCACUUUCCACGGGUCUUUCCACUUCCUCCGCACUCCACCCGUGUGUGAGGUGGGUACAUAAUGAUCCCACAUUCCAGACGAGGGAACUGAGGCCCAGGGAGGCUGCGCCAGCUCUCUGGCUGCAGAGUGGUCUCUGGUGUAGGCCAAGUGCUCUCACCAAGAUGCCUGCACUCUUUGCUGCCUUUCCCAGGGAUCAGGGCCACACAGCUGAGGGUCCCCUCUGUUUUGUUUCGUUUUUGCUUCUCUAUUACUAUUAUUAAUAGACGCAAAGACUAAGUAUCAAUAAAGGCCAAAACGAGCGAAGAAAGUGGCAGCCCUUUUAUUUUGCAAAUAUGCACGCACUCUCGGACGAGGUUCACUGGUCCGUGGGAAAGGGCCAGGGAAGUCGCGCCAGCGCUCUCGGGUGAUGUUCUCUGGUCCACGAAUGCGGGGGGCUGAAGAAGUCACGGCGGCUCCUGCCGGCGGCGGACUUUUAUGCCUGAGAGCUGGAAGAGGCGGAGUUUGGGGCGUGUGUGUAGGAGUGGCUUCUUGAAUGUCGGUGUCCCCGGCUUGACGUCAUUCUGCGCAUGCUCAGUUGAUUUGGUUCUUUUCCUGGGCGCGGGAAAAUCUGUGAUGAAGAACCCGGAAACAAUAGGGACUGCUCCAUCUUGUUCACCUUCCUCCAUCUUGUCCCUUUUCCCUCACCCAAACACCCUCCAAGGUGGUGUCUCAGGCCCGGUGUCUGGCCCUCUCAGGGCCUGGAAAUCCUGUUGCCCCCCAGCCCAGUGGCCCCGGGGACUUGUGGAGUCCUCUGUGUCAUGCUGCAGCUCCCGAUCCAAUAUGAAAUUCAGGAAACCAGUUUGUGACAAACUGCAUCUGGCCACUAAGGGAGCCCCUGGGUGACCCCAACACAUUCACACCAGUGUAUGAAAAAUUGCCUGCAUUUCAGAGAAGAUAAAUGGACUUUCCCUCUUCAGAUGCUUGAAGGGAGCGCUUUGAGCCGAGUGGUACGUGACCUCCCUCCAGCCCCGGGGCCCUCAGUGGACCUGGGCUGCCUGGCAGGCACUGGAACCUCCCUGGAUGUUCCCUCCUGCACCAACACCACUGCAACAUAGAGACCCAGCUGUGAUUUAUUUUGGCUUGGAGCUGUUUCAGGACUCCUCCUCCUCCCCUAAUAACUUGAGUCUUUCCCAUGUCAUAAUAAAGCUACAUUUUCUUCUGAAAACUGGCAGGUUCUCCCUUCCUAACACAGACAGCCGAGGAGAGGGUGGCAGGAGGGAGAAGAGCAGCCAGGGCACACCGGCCUGCAUGGGGUCGUCCUUGGUUGGAGUCAGUGGCCAGAGCUGCAGCCUGCCUUUGUGCCCAAAGUCUUGUCUGGGUGUCAGGAAGGCCACGCACUCAUAUUUCACCCCUUUCCGUGACUGGCUCGCUGUUCAAUGACCCUCGUUCCUUCCUUUUUGAGCAGGAAGGUGUCAUCUAGGACUCUGUCUUUGGGUGUGCAUGAAAGUCAUCUGAGGCCCUUGAUGUGCAGGAAUCCUUGCCAGCCUUGGAUUGCAAGACCCAGGCUGUGGUAUAGCAACGUGCAUUUUGUAGGAAGUUCCCUGCUUGAUUGGAGAGUCAUAAAUAGAAAGAAAUACUAUAAUCAGUGGAA
Molecule: long non-coding RNA, 1970 nt
Organism: Macaca mulatta (Rhesus monkey)
Lineage: Eukaryota; Metazoa; Chordata; Mammalia; Primates; Cercopithecidae
Source: RefSeq, a predicted model, not a curated record